This 254-nucleotide ribosomal RNA is filed under the name uncultured bacterium. RNAcentral's name for it is "partial 16S ribosomal RNA". It matches the Rfam family "Archaeal small subunit ribosomal RNA", at positions 474 to 727 of the family's 1478-position model. The record is from RNAcentral.
UACCAGCACCCCGAGUGGUCGGGACGUUUUAUUGGGCCUAAAGCAUCCGUAGCCGGUUCUGCAAGUCUUCCGUUAAAUCCACCUGCUUAACAGAUGGGCCGCGGAAGAUACUAUAGAGCUAGGAGGCGGGAGAGGCAAGCGGUACUCGAUGGGUAGGGGUAAAAUCCGUUGAUCCAUUGAAGACCACCAGUGGCGAAGGCGGCUUGCCAGAACGCGCUCGACGGUGAGGGAUGAAGGCUGGGGGAGCAAACCGG